GAUGAAGAACGUAGCGAAAUGCGAUACUUGGUGUGAAUUGCAGAAUCCCGUGAACCAUCGAGUCUUUGAACGCAAGUUGCGCCCGAAGCCAUUAGGCCGAGGGCACGCCUGCCUGGGCGUCACACGUCGUUGCCCCCCCAUCUACUCCUUCGGGAUUGCGGGGGGCGGAUGAUGGCCUCUCGUGCGCCUCGUCGCGCGGUUGGCCUAAAUGCCAAGUCCUCGGCGACGCACGCCACGACAAUCGGUGGUUGCGAAACCUCGGUUGCCUGUCGUGUGCGGUCGUCGCGCAUCGAGGGCUCGAAAAAAUUGCCGGGCUCCGGCUCGGCUUUCAAUGCGACCCCAGGUCAGGCGGGGUUACCCGCUGAAUUUAAGCAUAUCAAUAAGCGGAGGA
This 391-nucleotide unclassified non-coding RNA is filed under the name soil metagenome. RNAcentral's name for it is "partial contains 5.8S ribosomal RNA, internal transcribed spacer 2, and large subunit ribosomal RNA". The stretch from base 1 to 122 matches the Rfam family "5.8S ribosomal RNA", at positions 35 to 154 of the family's 154-position model. The record is from RNAcentral.